AGCUUGGAAGCAGCUAUUCAUUCAAAGAGUGCGUAACAGCUCACUAGUCGAGCGGCAAAGCGUGGAUAAUAAACGGGCAUCAAGUAUACCACCGAAGUUCUGGGCACGAAAGUGCGGUAGGGGAGCAUUCCAUUGACGUCGAAGCCAUUCCGCGAGGAUAGGUGGAGUUUAUGGAAAAGCAAAUGUAGGCAUGAGUAACGAUAAUGCGGGAGAGUAACCCGCACACCGCAAGACCAAGGUUUCCUGAUCAACGCUAAUCGGAUCAGGGUUAGUCGGGUCCUAAGGGUAAGCCGAACGGCGAUCUCGAUGGAUAAUCGGUUAAUAUUCCGAUACUAACAUAUACCUCGAUGGAGAGACGAAGGAACGUAAGUGCCGCCACCUGACGGAAUAGGUGGUUAAAGGGCGUAGGUAUAGGGGCAGAUUAAGAGUUAGUCCUUGCUGAAACCUGACAGUACAGAGAGCCUACGGGCAAUUUGAUAGAGCACCCAAGUCGACUUCCGAGAAAAUCUUCUAAGUUAUAGUAUAUGUUACCCGUACCGUAAACCGACACAGGUGGUCGAGGAGAGUAUCCUAAGGUGCUCGAGUGAAUCACGGUUAAGGAACUAGGCAAAUUAACCCCGUAACUUCGGGAAAAGGGGUCCCUAUGAAAGUAGGGCGCAGCGAAGAGGUCCAGGCGACUGUUUAUCAAAAACACAGGGCUCUGCAAAUUCGAAAGAAGACGUAUAGGGCCUGACACCUGCCCGGUGCUGGAAGGUUAAGAGGGGAUGUCAUCGCAAGAGAAGCAUUGAAUCGAAGCCCCAGUAAACGGCGGCCGUAACUAUAACGGUCCUAAGGUAGCGAAAUUCCUUGUCGGGUAAGUUCCGACCUGCACGAAUGGUGUAACGAUCUGGACACUGUCUCAACCGUGAGCUCGGUGAAAUUGUAGUCCCGGUGAUGAUGCCGGGUACCCGCAACGGGACGAAAAGACCCCGUGAACCUUUACUAUAGCUUAACGCUGAAUUUGGGUACACAAUGUGUAGGAUAGGCCGGAGGCUUUGAAGCGGGCACGCCAGUGUUCGUGGAGCCGACGUUGAAAUACGGCCCUUUGUGUAUUUGAGUUCUAACCCUGCGAAGGGGACACCGUUUGGUGGGUAGUUUGACUGGGGUGGUCGCCUCCAAAAGCGUAACGGAGGCUUCCCAAGGUACCCUCAGCACGAAUGGUAACCGUGCGCGGAGUGCAAUAGCAUAAGGGUGCUUGACUGUGAGACAUACAAGUCGACCAGGUACGAAAGUAGGGUAUAGUGAUCCGGUGGUUCUGCGUGGACUGGCCAUCGCUCAAAGGAUAAAAGGUACUCCGGGGAUAACAGGCUGAUCGCCGCCAAGAGCUCAUAUCGACGCGGCGGUUUGGCACCUCGAUGUCGGCUCGUCACAUCCUGGGGCUGGAGAAGGUCCCA
Molecule: ribosomal RNA, 1433 nt
Filed under: human gut metagenome
Description: bacterial LSU rRNA
Rfam family: Bacterial large subunit ribosomal RNA
Source: RNAcentral